UGUGAGAGUGUGUCUGUGUUUGUGUGGGUAAUAUGCGUGUGUGUGGGUGUAUCUGUGUUUAUACAGUUACGAGUGUUUAUGAAUAUGUUAGUGUAAUAUGUGUGUUUGUGUAUGUAUGAGUGUGUGUGUGUGUGUGUGUGUGCGUGUGUGUGAUGUGUGUGUGUGUGAUGUGUGUGUGUGUGUGUUUAUGUGGGUGAUAUGUGUGUGUGGGUAUAAGUUUGUUUGUGUGUGUGUGUAAUAUAUGUGUUUGUGUGGGUGGGUGGGUUUGUGUGUUUGUGUGUGUGUAUGUAAUAUGUGCGUGUGUGUGUCUAUGUUUGUGUGUGUGUGUGUUUGUAUGUGUGUCUAUGUUUGUGUGUGUGUGUGUUUGUGUGUGUGUGUAUGUAUGCAUGCGUGUUUGUGUUUGUGUGGGUAAUAUGUGUGUAUGUGAGUGCGUAUGUGUCUAUGUUUAUACAGUUACGUGUGUUUGUGUAUGUGUUUUUGUGUGUGAGAGUGUGUGUGUGUGUGUGUGUUUGUUUGUGUGUGUACUUUGUGUGUUUGUGUAUGUAAUAUAUAUGUGUUAAUGUGUAUAUAUGUGUGGAUGGGUUUUUGUGUGUAUACGUGUGUGUGUGUGUUUUUUUUUGUUUGUGAGUCUGUGUGUGUGUUUGUGAUUGGGAGUGUUUGUAUGUGAGUGUUUAUGUGGGUGAUAUGUGUGUUUGGGCGAAUAGGAGUGUGGGUAUAAGUUUGUAUGUGGGUGGGUGGGUGUGUGUAAUAUAUGUGUGUUUGUGGAGGUGUGUGUGUUUGUGUUUGUGUGUUUAUGUGUAUGUGUGUGUGUGAAUGUGUGUUUAUGUGUGCAUGUUUGUGUGUGUGUAUGUGUGUGUGUGUGUUUGUGUGGGUAAUAUGUGUGUGUAAGUGUGUUUGUGUUUGUGUUUAUACAGUUACGUGUGUUUGUGUAUGUGUUUUUGUGUGUUUGUGUGUGUGAGAGUCUGUGUGUGUCUGUGUGUUUGUGUAUGUAUGAGUCUCUUUGUGUGUGUGUGUUAAUGUGAUUGUGUGUGUGAUGUGUGUGCGUGUGUCUGUGUGUGUUUAUGUGUUUAUUUUUGUGGUAUGUGUGUGGGGGUAUAAGUUUGUAUGUAUGUAGGUGUGUGCGUGUGUGUGAUAUAUGUGUUUGUGUGGGUGUUUGUGUAUGUGAGUGUCAAUGUUUUUGGGUGUGUGUGUGUCUGAAUGUGUGUUUGUGUGUUAUGUGUGCAUGUUUGUGUGAGAGUAUGUGUGUGUGUUUGUGUGAGAGUGUAUGUGUGUGUGUGAGUGCGUCUGUGUUUGUGUUUGUAUAAUUACGUGUGUUUGUGUAUGUGUUUGUGUGUGUGUGUGUGUGUUUGUGGUGUAAUAUGUGUGUUUCUGUAUGUAAUAUAUGUGUGUUAAGGUGCAUGUGUGUGUGUAUCUAUGUGUGUAUGUGUGUGAAUGGGGGGUUUAUGUAUGUAUGUGUUUUUUUGUGUUUGUUGAGUGUGU
RNAcentral lists this long non-coding RNA (1479 nucleotides) under Vigna radiata. RNAcentral's name for it is "long non-coding RNA (VRAD_LNC017834)". The record is from RNAcentral. Lineage: Eukaryota; Viridiplantae; Streptophyta; Magnoliopsida; Fabales; Fabaceae.